This 566-nucleotide small RNA is filed under the name Pan troglodytes (chimpanzee). RNAcentral describes it as "processed transcript". The record is from RNAcentral. Lineage: Eukaryota; Metazoa; Chordata; Mammalia; Primates; Hominidae.
GGUGGCCCUGGGGUCCAGCUCUGCAUCACUGAUGUACUACCUAUCCUGGCAAAGAUGCUUCAUGGCCACAAGGCAGAGCCCUUGCAUCUGUGCCACCGGCUGGACAAGGAAACCACAGGUGUAAUGGUGUUGGCUUGGGACAAGGACAUGGCACAUCAAGUCCAAGAGUUGUUUAGAACCCGUCAGGUGGUGAAGAAGUACUGACGGAGUCUUGCUGUGUCUCCCAGGCUGGAGUGCAGUGGCAUAAUCUUGGCCCACUGCAACCUCCACCUCCUGGAUUCAAGCGAUUCUCAUGCCUCAGCCUCCCAAGUAGCUGGAAUUACAGGCACGCGUCACCACGCCUGGCUGAUUUUUUUUUUGUAUUUUUAGUAGAGAUGGGGUUUCACCAUGUUGGCCAGGCUGGUCUUGAACUCCUGACCUGAAGUGAUCCACCCGCCUUGGCCUCCCAAAGUAUUGGGAUUACAUGUGUGAGCCACUGCGCCUGUCCCCUGUGACUUCUUCGGGGCCAUCACUGUGCAUGUCCCCAUGCCCUCAGCAGGAGUCGUGGACAUCCCCAUUGUGGAGAA